Eriocheir sinensis (Chinese mitten crab) is the source of this 3262-nucleotide long non-coding RNA. RefSeq lists it as uncharacterized. Lineage: Eukaryota; Metazoa; Arthropoda; Malacostraca; Decapoda; Varunidae. The transcript has 3 exons. The record is from RefSeq and is a predicted model, not a curated record.
CUCUCUCUCCAAUUGUUUUUAUAAAUCUUAAGACACCGCAAGUCAUGAAAACAGAACACGAGUAAAUUUAAGUAGUAGUAGUAGUAGUAGUAGUAGUAGUAGUAGUAAGGAGGGGGGGGAGAGGGUUAGUGGAGUUUGAGUAAGUGGAGCGAGGAGAUGGUGAAGGGCAUAGUGGUGUUGGUGUUGGUGGUGUUGACGGGUCAGUGACAUGUGGAGUAUAGGUAAUUUGGUGGGUGGAUACUGUCCUGUGUAUGUGUCCCUCCCUUCAAUUCAUCUCCACGUUGUCUUUAUCUCUUAACAAUGUAGUUCUUUUUUUCCCCCAUCCAGUUUAUCGCUAUUGUGUGUGUGUGUGUAUGCGUCAACACAACACAGUAUAUACAUUUGGGUGAAGGCUGACGGGCUGGGUGGGUGCUGGUUGGGUUGGGUGGUUGAGUGGGUGAGGAGGAAGGGGAAGGGAGAGUACGACGAGGAACGGACUAUCUGACUAACGAUGGGCAGGCGAACUAAGAAGAGAACUAAUGGAGAAGAUUCAGCAGAGGGAAGAGGAAAGACGGAAGGAGGGUAUAGUUAAAUAGUGUAAGUUCUUUUCCCUCCCCUUCGUUCUCUUUACAAUCAAGGGUUUAGUAAGAAGACGAAGUGGGUUAGUGAAGAAGGUACAGGUGGGGGAGAAGGAAAGAGAGUUAGGAGUGUACAUUUGUAUAGUGUAGGUUCUUUCCCUUCCCUUCGUUCUCUUUACAAUCAAGGGUUUAGUAAGAAGAGGAAGUGGGUUAGUGAAGAUACAGGUUGGGGAGAAGGAAAGACAGAAGGAGUGGACAGUUGUAUGGUGUAGGUUCUUACCCUCCCCUCCUUUUUUCAAUCAAGGGUUUAGUAAGAAGAGGAGGUGCUGGGUACUCUCCGAUUUCCCUUUCUCCCCCUCCCUGCCUCCCCCCUCUCGUAUGAUACAGUACCCACGUCACAUUUCCUUCCCCCUUCACUUUCCUCCCCACCUCCCUGUGUCUCCAUCUCCCCACCCCUUCCCUCCCCACCUGGGUACUCCCUGUCUCACCCCCUUCGUGGUCAAGGCUGAUUAUAUUAUUUAUUUAUUUAUUUCUAUUUUUUCCCUUUCCAAGAGCUUCGUUCAGGUUAAAUUACGUUCAGGUGUGUUGAUGUGAUUAGAAAGGUCAAGAAUGGGUUAGUUAUCCGUGUGUUCUCUAUACCUCUCUUCACCUCAUGGGUAAAGACCGCGAGUUAGAGGAGAUAGCCAACUUAACCCAAGCAGGCGAAAGUCAUGGCGUAACAGCAUCAUGGUAUCGACAUGGCAAAAGAAGAAGGCUUAAGAGCAAUUCAGAGAUGUGCAAACUCUGGGUAUGUGGCGAGUGAAGUAACAGUUCGGGAAUAUGUUAAGUCUGGCUAUAUUGUAAACGAAGUGCCGAGCUAAAGAACAGUUGAGGAAUAUGCGAACUCUGGCUAGGUGGUGAACGAGGCGCCGAGCUAAAGAACGGGCCAAGAAUAUGAAAAUUCUGGCUGGGUGGUGAGUGGGGUGCUGAGCUAAAGAACAGUUCAAUAAUAUGCAAACUCUAGCUAGGUGGUGAGUGGGGUGCCGAGCUAAAGAACGGGCCAAGAAUAUGAAAAUUCUGGCUGGGUGGUGAGUGGGGUGCUGAGCUAAAGAACAGUUCAAUAAUAUGCAAACUCUGGCUAGGUGGUGAGUGGGGUGCCGAGCUAAAGAACAGUUAAAAAAUUCGCAAACUCUGGCUAGGUGGUAAGUGGGGUGCCGAGCUAAAGAACAGUUCAAGAAUUUGCAAACUUUGGCUGGGUGGUGAGCGUGGUGCCGAGCUAAAGAACAGUUCAAGAAUUUGCAAACUCUGGCUGGGUGGUGAGCGAGGUGCCGAGCUAAAGAACAGUUCAAGAAUUUGCAAACUCUGGCUGGGUGGUGAACGCGGCGCCGAACUGAAAAACCAGUCCAAGAUUAAGGGAACUGGGUAUGUGGUGAACGAGGUGCUGAACUAAAGAACAGUUCAAGAAUAUGCGAGCUCUGGCUAGGUAGUGAGGUAGGCGCCGAGCUAAAGAACAUGCGAAGAAUAAGGAACGUACGAAGAAGCGAGGUGCCAAGCAUAUAAGAACAGUUCAGAAAUAUGCAAAGAAGUGAAGUGCCGAGUUAAAGAAACAGUUCAAGAAUACUCGAACUCUGGCUGGGCGGUGAGCGAGAUGCCGAAUUAAAGAACAUGCGAAGAAGCGAAGGUGCCAAGCAUAAAAGAACAGUUCAGGAGUAUGCAAAGGAGUGGCAUCCCGAGCUAAAGAACAGUUCAAGAAUAUGCGAACUGUCGGUGGGUGGGUGAGUGAGAUCUCGAGCUAGAUAACAGUUGAAGAAUGAUCAAGAUACCGAGCUAAAUAACAGAUUAGGAGUAUGAGAACUUGCGUAGGAGUGAGGAGUCAAGCUUAAAAUAAUUUAGAUAUAUGCGAACUUUGGCUUGGUAGGUGUGUGGGGGUGUUGUGGGGGGAGAUGCCGAGCUAAAGAAUGCUUCAAGAAUAUGCGAACUUGGGAAGGUGGUGAACGUGGUGGCUCAAGAUCCUGCUGUGCUAGAAGCGGGUGCGUUUACCGAGGUGAGGGACUGGCGCCUGGCUGCUUAGGGUCGUGGGGGGGGUAAGGGGGGGGCUCGGGGAAAGGGAAAGGGAGGCGAGGGGGGUGGGUGAGAGGGUGGGUGGCUGGCUGACCCACACACAGGAGUGACGUGGUGGUGGUGGUGGUAUCCGUCAGAGUAAGAGUUUUGGUUGAGUUCACCCUUCCCCUCCCUUGACAUCUCUGUGUGUGUGUGUGUGUGUGUGUGUGUGGAACGUUUUCAUGUGAUAAGAGAGAGUGUGUGUGUGUGUGUGUGUGGAGUCAGCGGCGAGGUGCAGCGUGGUGUGUGUGUGUGUGUGUGUAUGUGUGUGGUGGGCAGGGCAGGGCAGGGCAGAGCAGGGGCCCGCGGCGUCACACAAGGGCGGCAGCGGUCACCAUCACCACCACCACCGCCACCGCCCUGCCAGCCCUCGCCUCAUGCCUGUCCCGCAGCGCCAGGCCACACUGAUGCAACAGCUACCGACUGCCUGGCCUGCCCCGCGCCGCCCAGCAGGCCACACGGCGCCUCCUGUGUGUGUGUGUGUGUGUGUCCUGGCCUGGUGGAGUGUGUCGCGUAGGAGCAGCGCUAGGGUACACACACACACACACACACACACAUACAGAGGUCAUUGCAAACUUGACUCGAUUCUGUGAAAAAUAAACAUGAGAUGGAAGUAGGUAACCCCA